Molecule: ribosomal RNA, 356 nt
Filed under: uncultured organism
Description: bacterial SSU rRNA
Rfam family: Bacterial small subunit ribosomal RNA
Source: RNAcentral
CGCCUAAAACAUGCAAGUCGAGUGGGUUUAGACCCACGGCAGACGGCUGCGUACCACAUGGGUACCUACCCCGAACUCAGGAAUAUCCCGCCGAAAGGCGGAGUAAUGCCGGAUAGUCCCGCAAGGGUAAAGCUUUCGCGGUUCGGGAGGGGCCUGUGGCCUAUCAGUUAGUUGGUGAGGUAACGGCUCACCAAGACUAUGACGGGUAGCUGGUCUGAGAGGACGACCAGCCAGAAUGGAACUGAGACACGGUCCAUACUCCUACGGGAGGCAGCAGUUAGGAAUCUUCCGCAAUGGGCGCAAGCCUGACGGAGCGACACCGCGUGAAGGAUUUGCCAUUUUUUGGUGUAAACUUC